Molecule: long non-coding RNA, 2932 nt
Organism: Aphis gossypii (cotton aphid)
Lineage: Eukaryota; Metazoa; Arthropoda; Insecta; Hemiptera; Aphididae
Exons: 3
Source: RefSeq, a predicted model, not a curated record
UAACGUUUGUUCAUUAGCAUUUAUUUUAACUCGAGUUUCGUCUUUAAUAGAUAUUUUUUUCUAAAAUUUUAUCUUAAGAAUAUAUUUUUUUUCGGAUUUGAGUAUUUGACGUGUAGGUACGGGUGCGUACAGCCUUAGCGAACAUUUCACACAUUCGGAUAUAAUUUUAAUUUUAAAUUAUCAAUACUCAAAUCGUCUUGAUUCACUGUGUACCACACACAGGUAUGCCGAAUAUAAAUACGGAUGUGAUUGUAAGUUUGCGAAUGAGAGUGUUCCAGAAUAUUGGAAAACCGGCGGCGAGGUUACUAUAAUAAGGCACAGAUGACUUUCGCCGACUGCGGCGGCUCGGCAGGGUACGACGACGGUGACGGCCGACGGGCCAAGGAUUUUCCGCUCGCCCGCUGCCGAUAAUUAUAUCAUCAACGACUUACGAUAAUUGUGACAAUUCGCCGGUGCCGAGGACAAUGAUUACUAGAAAGAAACAAUACAAAUAUCGAAGCCAUUGUCUGUAUAGUUAUAUCAGUCAUAACUCUUGAUAUUUGAAUAUAAUAAUAAUAAUAAUACCUUAAAGUAAUAAACAAUAGUACAUAAUAAAUAGUCCUAGAAUGCGAAAUGAAUUAUUAUAUGAUCGACGAUCACUGCACACCGUUCUCGCUGUCGACCAAUUAUUAUGGUAAUACGGACAGAGUCAUAGAAUUCACGCAACGUGUCCAAGUCCCAUCACGUAUCAAUCCGAAUCGUGCUACCAUUUCCUUGAGUAAAUUGCACGAGAGUGUCUUAGUUUCCCAGGUUUCAAAAUUUAAGAACAUCAUGAAGUUUCAGAGCAUAAAGUGUUUCAAUUUUAUACAUUUAGCAAGCGAUUCAGUGCCAGUGGAAGAUUUGGGUCUGAUGAUGCGGUGUACGACUAUAUAUACGAUCUACGAUCUGUUUCGGGCACCCACCAAAAACUUAUCAAGAUUUAGGGUGUGAGUGUUUUUUUCAAUCUACCGAAGUCUUGAAAUUCCCAACGAUUUCUUUUCGAAGAGAAGUAGAGAGCCCGACCGUAAGGUACAGUAUUUCGUGAACAUGAAAUUUGAGAUGUAUUAAGGUUAUUACGGUUUACCAUGUCAACUCGAAAUUCGGAAGAAAGUUUAAAAAUUUUUUUUAGGAUUUAUAGAAAAAAAAUUAUAAUAUUAAUAUUUCAAAAUUCAAUAACCUUUUUAUGGUUUUAAAAAAAAAGUAUAUUUAUAUAUAUUUUUUUAUAGUGGCCGCGGUAGUCUACAAUUUAAGUAAUUAAAUGCAAAUUUAUUUUUUUCAAAUACCUUCGAUCGAAAUUAUCGAUACUCGACGACAGUAUUUAAUCACUAUUUUUUUUUCAAUAUUAUUAUGUGAAGGUUUAAGAUUUAAGAGAUAGUAUAUUAUCUAUUAUUAACUAUUAUGUAAUUACAUAAAACGUUAUCAGACUAAUGUGUUUAUUUAAUUAUCUAGUUGUUGAAUUAUAACUAAUUUUUUAAUUAAAUACGUAGUGUAAUAAUAAAGUCAUACUAUCAUCUACCGUACUUACAUCUAAAGCAUCGACAUCCGUAUACAUUUUGCGAUGGAAGGGGUGAUAAAAACAAGCCUGGGCAUAAACGAGUUAAAAAGUUAAAGUUAAGUUAAUUUUAACUUUUUUUAAUUUAAUUUUCAUUAACUUAAUUUUUAACUUAAUUGAUGUUUACUGAUAUUAACUUAAUAAAUAACGAGUUAUAUUUAAUAAAAUCUAAGUUACAUUAUUUUAUAAAUAAUUAAAUUUUAAAUAAACCUAACCUAACGCUAACAUAUAAAAAAAUAACUUUUUUUUAACUUUUAACUUAACUGAGUUAACCAAAAAUUUUAUUAACUUUUAACUUUUAACUUUUUCUUAUUGAUGCAUAUUAACUUAACUUAACUAAGUUAAAAAAAAUAAUUAACUUGCCCAGCCUUGGAUAAAAAUAUCUGUUUUUAUUAUAUUAUAGUAAGUGCCGGAUAUAUAGGUACAGCCUAUAUACAUAAUAUUGUGUUUGUUGGAGAUGAGUUAUUUAGCUGGUCAAUGAAGAAUAUAUUUAUAUUAAUACGCACGAUUUCAUAAAUCUGGUAAUUGCAUGUAUAUUAAGUUUACUUCAAGAAUUAUUCAUUUUAAAAUUUUAAAUAUAGGUAUUAUACCGUGGCAUUAACAAUAAUAAAGACUAAUAAGUCUGAUAUAAGUUUGAGAACUGUUAGAUAUGGUCAAACGUCUACUAUAAUUUGUGUUCCUUCAUCAGUAUUUUGGAUGUCCUUGCUAUUUAACUAUAUUUUACCUAAACAUAUAUGAAUAUAUUCUUUUUUUUUUUAAUUUAAACAUUUAAAUAUUUAAUAGUUGUAAUAAUAAUUAUUAAUUUUAAUACUUAACCUCCGUAGAAUUUAGAUUUUAGACUAUAGUUACACACAAUAAAAAUACCCGACGACACUUUAUUUUAAAUAUAAGCUACUAUUCAAUUAUUAUUUAAAAAAGUAAUUUUACGUUUUGGCCAAAAAUAAAAUUAUAAUAUAUUUUUUGUUUUGAUUAUUUUGAUCUUAUUAUUUUUUUUCUUAUUGACUUGUUUUUUUUUUUAUUUACUGUCAUUACCUAUUAGUUUAUAUAUUAUUAUAAACUGUACAUAUAGAUUUUAAAAGGUUUUAGACAUUUUUUGUACAAAAUUAAUCAUCAGGUGAGUUUUUAUAUAAGUGUUAGUGUUGUAAUGCUGCUUACAACAUAUUUUAGUUUAAUAAAAUCUAUUAUAGUUUUCACUAUAAUUACAAUCAUUGUUUUUAUGCUUUUUAUUUUAUUUAUAAAUAACUUUAUUUACUUUUAUUUUAUUGUUGGUAAGUUUGAUAAUGUCGACUAAAACAAAAAAAAACCCCAUUAGAGUUAAGUUAUGUUUUACAGAGUGAGAGACCAAUAUAUUUUUUUAAUCGA